RNAcentral lists this ribosomal RNA (759 nucleotides) under uncultured Planctomycetales bacterium. RNAcentral describes it as "SSU rRNA". It matches the Rfam family "Bacterial small subunit ribosomal RNA", at positions 68 to 857 of the family's 1533-position model. Lineage: Bacteria; Pseudomonadati; Planctomycetota; Planctomycetia; Planctomycetales. The record is from RNAcentral.
AUGAAAGCCCCUUCGGGGGUGCAUGAAGUGGCGAAAGGGCUAGGAAUACAUUCCUACGUGCCUUGAGGUCGAGGAUAGCCCCGGGAAACUGGGAGUAAUACUCGAUGAUGUCUUCGGACCAAAGCCUUCGGGCGCCUUUAGAGCGGGGAAUGUCCUAUCAGGUUGUUGGUGAGGUAACGGCUCACCAAGCCUAAGACGGGUAGCGGGUGUGAGAGCAUGACCCGCAGCAUCGGGACUGAGACACUGCCCGGACUCCUACGGGAGGCUGCAGUAACGAAUAUUCCGCAAUGCGCGAAAGCGUGACGGAGCAAUGCCGCGUGUGGGAUGAAGCUUCUCGGAGUGUAAACCACUGUCAGGAUUCAGGAACACAAUGACCAGAUCCAAAGGAAGGGCCGGCUAACUUCGUGCCAGCAGCCGCGGUAAUACGAAGGGCCCGAGCGUUAAUCAGAAUCACUGGGCUUAAAGCGUGUGUAGGCGGACAUGAAGGCGCUUUGUGAAAUCCCUCGGCUCAACCGAGGAACUGCAGGGCGAACCGUGUGUCUUGAGACAGGUAGGGGUCGUCGGAACGGUAGGUGGAGUGGUGAAAUGCGUUGAUAUCUACCGGAACGCCGAAGGAGAAGUCAGGCGACUGGGCCUGUUCUGACGCUGAGACACGAAAGCGUGGGGAGCGAACGGGAUUAGAUACCCCGGUAGUCCACGCCGUAAACGAUGUGCACUAGGUUGGGGAGGUUUUGACGCCGUUCCCGNCCGAAGCAAAAG